GCUCAGGACGAACGCUGGCGGCGUGCUUAACACAUGCAAGUCGAACGGAAAGGCCCUUGCUUGCAGGGGUACUCGAGUGGCGAACGGGUGAGUAACACGUGGGUGAUCUGCCUUGUACUUCGGGAUAAGCCUGGGAAACUGGGUCUAAUACCGGAUAGGACCAUGCUUUAGUGUGUGUGGUGGAAAGUUUUUUCGGUACAAGAUGAGCCCGCGGCCUAUCAGCUUGUUGGUGGGGUAAUGGCCUACCAAGGCGACGACGGGUAGCCGGCCUGAGAGGGUGUACGGCCACAUUGGGACUGAGACACGGCCCAGACUCCUACGGGAGGCAGCAGUA
RNAcentral lists this ribosomal RNA (334 nucleotides) under uncultured bacterium. Its description in RNAcentral is "bacterial SSU rRNA". It matches the Rfam family "Bacterial small subunit ribosomal RNA", at positions 22 to 356 of the family's 1533-position model. The record is from RNAcentral.